UACACACCGCCCGUCACACCACGAAAGCCUGUUGGACCAGAAGUCGCUAGGCUAACCGCAAGGAGGCAAGCGCCGAAGGUCUGGCCGGUGAUUGGGGUG
This 99-nucleotide ribosomal RNA is filed under the name uncultured bacterium. RNAcentral describes it as "partial 16S ribosomal RNA". It matches the Rfam family "Bacterial small subunit ribosomal RNA", at positions 1384 to 1482 of the family's 1533-position model. The record is from RNAcentral.